Drosophila novamexicana is the source of this 1375-nucleotide long non-coding RNA. RefSeq lists it as uncharacterized. The record is from RefSeq and is a predicted model, not a curated record. NCBI's taxonomy places the organism in Eukaryota, Metazoa, Arthropoda, Insecta, Diptera, Drosophilidae. The transcript has 4 exons.
GAAUUUCUCCCUUUCCACGAUAGCUAAAAAAUAAAAGUACUUGAUGUGAACAUACAAAUUUGGUGACUUGCCCUGAAUAUUUGAAAUUCGCUCAAAAAUAGAAUUUCAAUUUUUAUCGAUUGAUUGGAAACAGGGCAAGCUAUCGGAAAUAACCAUGUACUACGCGGACGAUAGGGGUCGGCGGUGCUUCUCUUUUUACAGUUGAAUGAAAUAUUUGAGAUCCCUUUGAAGCCUCUAUCUAUUAGUGAAAAAAUAGCCAUAGAAACGACCGAUUUACAAUAUAUGUAUGUGUGCAUACAAAGUAGAUGCCGAUUUUUUAACGUCACUCUCCAAAAACGCGCUCCUUCCAUUCAGUUUUGAGAAUCGACGAAGUUUUACAAAAAUGUAUUGAUGUUUUACUUUGUUUUGUUUUGUUGAAGCAUCGAUACUUAGCGUUUGUUAUGUGUCUACAUUAACUACUACGGCAACGCCGGCCAGCCAGUACUCUCUUUAGGGAUGGGCAUUUCCUGCCCACCGUCACGAACAAUCGCACAACACUAAACUAAAUCUGCACAUCACUAAGCAGUUGACUCAAAAACGUAAACAAAGGCUAGUGACAAAACAAUGCAAAAAUAAAGCUAACAAAAUUUCGGCGGGUUCCUUGUUGUUGCCGUUGCACAUAAACCUAUCCUGUGAUGACUUCUAUUCGAACGGCAGCAUUCCCCUUCCUAACGUUAACGAAUUUUUUGCCGGACAUUUUCUUUUUCACUAUGAACAAAAGACAGACGACAAGACUUUUGCCUGUUGCCGCUGGAAACAAUAAUCGAUUAUAAUUUUUUACUGAGUGAAUAUAAUUCUCGAAUUGGAAAUUAUGUGAGGCAUAUAAGUUUGAAAGAUUGCUACCUUACUCUAUCUAAAGAGCUCUCCGGCAGCCCAAAAUUUUUCUGUCGCUCUUCCGCAAACACACGCACAAAGCCCACGCCUCGCCACGCUUCAAAGGCUGCCCGACGGCCAACGACACCGUUCUGGAACAGUACACACGAUUACCGAGGGGAUGGGACUAGGUACAUUUAUCUAGUACAUGGCGAAUGUAUGCAUAAGUAUAUUUAAAUAGAGACAUAAAAUGAAUCAAGAUCCGGCAGCAAGUGCGAUAUAGAAAACAGACAGACGGAAGACAACGAAUAUAUUUUGUGACAGCGCGCUAAACGAGUAAAAGCCAGACGAGAUAUUUUAUGCAUUGUGUUUGGGACGGCGAUAAAAUACCCUAAGCUUCGAAAUUUAACUUAGCUUAUAAAGUAAAUUUCGUCAACAUUUCUUAGAUCUUAAGUUACUUAUUUUUGGACAAGCAGUUUUUUCUUUCAAUUUGAAUUUGGAAACUUGUAAAAGCCAGACGAGA